Molecule: long non-coding RNA, 338 nt
Filed under: Brassica napus (rape)
Lineage: Eukaryota; Viridiplantae; Streptophyta; Magnoliopsida; Brassicales; Brassicaceae
Description: long non-coding RNA (BNAP_LNC007847)
Source: RNAcentral
AUGAUUACCACCACAUAUACACACCAGGUAUGACAGUUACGUAUUUUUCCAGACGAGUUGAUCAUUUUCCCUUUAACCGGCGGGACCCACUCCAUUCUACAACUUUUCAUUUAUUGUUGUAACUAAAUUAUUUAACCCACAAAUUAUUUUCUCAUGACCAGAAAUAUAAAAAUAUAGUAUUUUUCUCAAAUAUUUGUUUUAUCUGUUAGCUAAAAAUACAGACCAUGGUCCAUACCUAAUUGACAUUGUUACUAUUUAUUUAAUAAAUAGAGAACAUGUCUACGUAUGUAUAACAACAUUUCAAAUCUAUAAAUUUGCUGGUAACGUCAAAUCAGCCU